GCCUACUGCGCAUGUGCGGUAUGUUCAUUCACGGCAUGGCGCGACGGGAGGGCGACAGGUGUGGCGGUACAUCAACACAGAUCUGCACCUGUGUUUGUUUCCCACUUCCCUGCUUCAGCAUUAUUCAUGACCGCAAAGUCAACCGACUGGAUGAGAAGGACAAAUAAGCCGUGAGCAGGAACGAGGAGGCAGGCCAGAGGAGUGGAGGAGUUCGUUAUGUAAUAUCCAAAGAGGAGAGGCUCCAAAGAAAGAACCCAGCGGGGGAGACGGGCUCUGACCUACAGGUGCAGCCGCUGUGGGAGGACUGCCUGCUUUUGGCUGCAUGACCCUGCAUACGAGUUAAGAACCGUGUCCCAAACACACAUUAAAUCUAUACAGUUCCUGCAGAGAGAAGCAGAGAAAACAGGAAUUAGCUGUUAGAGAGAACUUGGUUAUGUUGGAGCAGAUUUUAGCUGGACGAUAUCUCUCUACCAGAGCGGGUGAAGGCUGAUUCUUUGAUCUAAAAUGAUUUUCUUGAGUUGUCUGUGAAUAAAUUCGUUAGUGGAUCAUUUUA
Thunnus maccoyii (southern bluefin tuna) is the source of this 553-nucleotide long non-coding RNA. RefSeq lists it as uncharacterized. The record is from RefSeq and is a predicted model, not a curated record. The transcript is spliced from 3 exons. NCBI's taxonomy places the organism in Eukaryota, Metazoa, Chordata, Actinopteri, Scombriformes, Scombridae.